AUACGGAGGAUGCAAGCGUUGUCCGGAUUUAUUGGGUUUAAAGGGUGCGUAGGCGGCCCGUUAAGUCAGUGGUGAAAGGUAUCAGCUCAACUGAUGAAGUGCCAUUGAAACUAACGGGCUUGAGUACAGACGAGGUAGGCGGAAUUUAUGGUGUAGCGGUGAAAUGCAUAGAUACCAUAAAGAACACCGAUAGCGAAGGCAGCUUACUAGACUGUCACUGACGCUGAGGCACGAAAGCGUGGGGAGCAAACAGGAUUAGAUACCCCCGGUAGUCC
RNAcentral lists this ribosomal RNA (275 nucleotides) under uncultured bacterium. RNAcentral describes it as "partial 16S ribosomal RNA". It matches the Rfam family "Bacterial small subunit ribosomal RNA", at positions 523 to 796 of the family's 1533-position model. The record is from RNAcentral.